AUACGGAGGGUGCUAGCGUUGUUCGGAAUUACUGGGCGUAAAGCGUACGUAGGCGGACUGAUCAGUUGGGGGUGAAAUCCCAGGGCUUAACCCUGGAACUGCCUUCAAUACUGUCUGUCUUGAGAUUGGAAGAGGUGAGUGGAAUUCCUAGUGUAGAGGUGAAAUUCAUAGAUAUUAGGAGGAACACCAGUGGCGAAGGCGGCUCACUGGUCCAAUACUGACGCUGAGGUACGAAAGCGUGGGGAGCAAACAGGAUUAGAAACCCCAGUAGUCC
This 274-nucleotide ribosomal RNA is filed under the name uncultured bacterium. RNAcentral describes it as "partial 16S ribosomal RNA". It matches the Rfam family "Bacterial small subunit ribosomal RNA", at positions 523 to 796 of the family's 1533-position model. The record is from RNAcentral.